This 478-nucleotide ribosomal RNA is filed under the name Dorippe quadridens. RNAcentral's name for it is "partial 16S ribosomal RNA". The record is from RNAcentral. Lineage: Eukaryota; Metazoa; Arthropoda; Malacostraca; Decapoda; Dorippidae.
UUAUAUAGUCUAUCCUGCCCACUGGUAAUCUUAACGGCUGCGGUAUUUUGACCGUACAAAGGUAGCAUAAUGAUUAGGUUUUUAAAUGAAAUCUGGAAUGAAUGGAUUGACAAAAAAGAAGCUGUCUCAGUUAUAAAUAUAUAAUUUAACUUUAAGAGUGAAAAGGCCUUAAUAUUUCAAAGGGAAGAUAAGACCCUAUAAAGCUUAAUAAUUCAUAUUUUUAAAUAUAAAUUUGAUUAUAAUUUUAUAUAAAAAUAUAAUUAUUUUACUGGGGCGGUAUAUUAUAACUAUAAUUAACUAAUAUAAUUUAUAAAUCAUUGAUAAAUGAAAAAAGAUCCUUUAAAGAUUAAAAAAUUAAGUUACUUUAGGGAUAACAGCGUUAUUUUUUUGGAGAGUUCUUAUUAAAAAAAAAGAUUGCGACCNCGAUGUUGAAUUAAAUAGAUUCUUUAUGGUGCAGAAGCUUAUAAAAGAAGGUCUG